AUGCCCAUGCCCGGGCCGUGCAGGGGCGGAGCGGCGCGGUCCAGCCGCGCACGGCUCCCGAGCCCAGGACGCCGCCGGUCCCGGUCCCGGUGCCGGUCCCUGCCCCGCCGCCCAGCCGCCGGGACCCCGCUCGCUCACCGGCCGCGGCCGCUCCCGCUGCUGCCGCUCUUCUGCCAGCCCUCGGAGCCGGUGUCCGCGUCCCUCGGCUGCGCAGGGCGAGGGGUGCGCGCCCCGUCCCGCCCGGCCGGCGCGGAGCCGGCAGCAGCCCUGCCCGGCACCCGGCGGAAGAGCUCGGCUCUGCCCGAGGGCUGGGCUGUCCCUCCUCGGCCCCAGUGCCGCUCGAGGGCGCUGGCAGCCCGCUCCCGUCCCGCUCCCGUCCCGUCCCGAGCUGAGCCGUCCCGAGCCGAGCCGUGCCGUGCAGCCCCGCCGGUGGCGGAGCGCGCCUGGCCGUGCCGAGCACUAAAUAGCCCGGGGGCGGGCCCGCCCAGCCCGGCCCGGCCCGGCCCAGCCCAGCAGGCGGCCAGGGGUCGCUGCCAGGACCCCCCCGUCGGCAGGGAGCGGUCGGGGCAGCCGCGGUGGCUGCGCUGGGCCGGGGCUGGGGACCGGCGGGCGGCAGCUCCAGUGCUGGGCGAGGAAGGUCCCCCCCCGGCGAGGAGGGAGCCGGCCGGCAGCGGGGAGUGCCGCAGUCCUACUGUCACGGCAGAGCGCCAGAAACGUCCCGAAGACCUUCACUGGAAGAAAGAUCUGGAUCUGCUCACUUAUCUGGCUAAUCAUUUCUCCAAUGAAAUGUAUAUUUGAAGUACUGAAUCAUAUGUGGAGAAUGUGACGGGGAGAUAUAAAAAGGAGAGAGAACUGGGAACUUCUUACACUGACAUCGUUGUUAUAAAUGAUGUAUUGUUGAGUCAUAUUACCUCAGAUGUAUCUUCUGUAGGUUAAUACUGGUAACUGAGAAUAAAAUGUGACCUUCUUUUAUCCUGUCUUUAUCC
RNAcentral lists this long non-coding RNA (986 nucleotides) under Anser cygnoides (Swan goose). Its description in RNAcentral is "lncRNA (ENSACDG00005010699.1)". The record is from RNAcentral. Lineage: Eukaryota; Metazoa; Chordata; Aves; Anseriformes; Anatidae.